This 62-nucleotide transfer RNA is filed under the name Meimuna opalifera. RNAcentral's name for it is "tRNA-His". Lineage: Eukaryota; Metazoa; Arthropoda; Insecta; Hemiptera; Cicadidae. The record is from RNAcentral.
AUUCAAUUAGUUUAACAAAAACAUUAAUUUGUGGAUUUAAAAAUAUAUUUAUAUAUUGAAUA